Molecule: ribosomal RNA, 440 nt
Filed under: uncultured bacterium
Lineage: Bacteria
Description: partial 16S ribosomal RNA
Rfam family: Bacterial small subunit ribosomal RNA
Source: RNAcentral
CCUACGGGUGGCAGCAGUGGGGGAUAUUGCACAAUGGGGGAAACCCUGAUGCAGCGACGCCGCGUGGGUGAAGAAGCGCCUCGGCGCGUAAAGCCCUGUCAGCAGGGAAGAAAAUGACGGUACCUGAAGAAGAAGCUCCGGCUAACUACGUGCCAGCAGCCGCGGUAAUACGUAGGGGGCAAGCGUUAUCCGGAUUUACUGGGGGUAAAGGGGGCGCAGACGGGGAUGCAAGCCAGGCGUGAAAGCCCGGGGCCCAACCCCGGGACUGCUCUUGGAACUGCGGGGCUAGAGUGCAGGAGAGGCAGGCGGAAUUCCUGGUGUAGCGGUGAAAUGCGUAGAUAUCAGGAGGAACACCGGUGGCGAAGGCAGCCUGCUGGACUGCAACUGACGUUGAGGCCCGAAAGCGUGGGGAGCAAACAGGAUUAGAUACCCCAGUAGUC